Molecule: ribosomal RNA, 474 nt
Filed under: uncultured bacterium
Lineage: Bacteria
Description: bacterial SSU rRNA
Rfam family: Bacterial small subunit ribosomal RNA
Source: RNAcentral
GAUGAACGCUGGCGGCGUGCUUAAUACGUGCAAGUCGAGCGAGGACCAUUUGGUGGCAACACCGGGUGGCUCCUAGCGGCGAACGGGCGAGUAACACGUGGGCAACCUACCCCCGACUUUGGGAUAAGCCCGGGAAACUGGGUCUAAUACCGGAUACGAGCCUCCUCCGCAUGGUGGAGGUUGGAAAGGGUCUCCGGUCGGGGAUGGGCCCGCGGCCUAUCAGCUUGUUGGCGGGGUAACGGCCCACCAAGGCGACGACGGGUAGCCGGCCUGAGAGGGUGAACGGCCACACUGGGACUGAGACACGGCCCAGACUCCUACGGGAGGCAGCAGUAGGGAAUCUUGCGCAAUGGGCGAAAGCCUGACGCAGCGACGCCGCGUGCGGGACGAAGGCCUUCGGGUUGUAAACCGCUUUCAGCAGGGACGAAGCGAAAGUGACGGUACCUGCAGAAGAAGGUCCGGCCAACUACGUGC